CCUACGGGUGGCAGCAGUGGGGAAUAUUGGGCAAUGGGCGCAAGCCUGACCCAGCAACGCCGCGUGAAGGAAGAAGGCUUUCGGGUUGUAAACUUCUUUUGUCAGGGACGAAGCAAGUGACGGUACCUUUCGAAUAAGCCACGGCUACCUACGGGCCAGCAGCCGCGGUAAUACGUAGGUGGCAGGCGUUGUCCGGAGUUACUGGGGGUAAAGGGCGGGCAGGCGGGACGGCAAGUCAGAUGUGAAAACCACGGGCUCAACCUGGGAACUGCAUUUGAAACUGUUGUUGUUGAGUACCGGAGAGGGAGACGGAAUUCCUGGUGUAGCGGUGAAAUGCGUAGAUAUGAGGAGGAAAACCAGUGGCGAAGGCGGACGGCUGGACGGCAACUGACGCUGAGGCGCGAAAGCGUGGGGAGCAAACAGGAUUAGAUACCCUUGUAGUC
This 443-nucleotide ribosomal RNA is filed under the name uncultured bacterium. RNAcentral describes it as "partial 16S ribosomal RNA". It matches the Rfam family "Bacterial small subunit ribosomal RNA", at positions 338 to 795 of the family's 1533-position model. The record is from RNAcentral.